RNAcentral lists this unclassified non-coding RNA (178 nucleotides) under uncultured fungus. RNAcentral describes it as "sequence contains ITS1". Lineage: Eukaryota; Fungi. The record is from RNAcentral.
GUCUCAUUUGUGAAUAGUUUACUCUGUCAAACACAACAAGCGCAAAUGUGUGGUUGGUGGAUUAGUGGCAGUCUUGAAGGGUCGGCAGGCAUAAAAUACCCACCCAUCCAACCCCACCACCAACAAACCCCCAAUACACCGAUUUGUAAUGAUCCUUCCGCAGGUUCACCUACGGAAA